GUCCUUGCUGUAACGAUGUAUACUUGAUGUAGUUGGACUUAAUCCUGACUGUGUCGAAGCUAACGCGGUAAGUAUACCGCCUGGGAGUACGCUCGCAAGGGUAAACUCAAAGAAUUGACGGGGCCCGCACAAGCAGUGGAGCAUGUGGUUUAAUUCGAUGCAACGCGAAGAACCUUACCCAGACUUGACAUAUAAUAGACGUUAGCAGAAAUGAUAACUCCCGCAAGGGCUGUUAUACAGGUGCUGCAUGGCUGUCGU
RNAcentral lists this ribosomal RNA (258 nucleotides) under uncultured bacterium. RNAcentral describes it as "partial 16S ribosomal RNA". It matches the Rfam family "Bacterial small subunit ribosomal RNA", at positions 793 to 1055 of the family's 1533-position model. The record is from RNAcentral.